GGAAGGAGGACAGAUGGCCGCCCCGUUUCCGUCCCGGGCGGGCGGGAACGGGGAGGAAAGUCCGGACUCCACAGGGCAGGGUGCUCCGUAAUGCGGAGUGGAGGCAACUCCAAGGAAAGUGCCACAGAAAAGAUACCGCCCAUCCCCUUCCCCUCCGGGAAGGGGAGGCAAGGGUGAAAAGGUGCGGUAAGAGCGCACCGCUUCGAUGGCGACAUCGAAGGCACGGCAAACCCCACCCGGAGCAAGGCCAAAUAGGAGGGCGAGGUCCCGCGACGGCGGGACGAGAGGGUGGCCCGCCCAAGCCCUCGGGUAGGCCGCACGAUUCCGCUGGCAACAGCGGAACCAGAGGGAUGGCCAUCGCCCCCGGGAGCGAAAGCGACCGGGGGAACAGAAUCCGGCUUAUGGACUCCUUCCCCCC
This 418-nucleotide RNase P RNA is filed under the name Candidatus Methylomirabilota bacterium. RNAcentral describes it as "candidate division NC10 bacterium (hot springs metagenome) RNase P RNA component class A". It matches the Rfam family "Bacterial RNase P class A". Rfam says of the family: Ribonuclease P (RNase P) is a ubiquitous endoribonuclease, found in archaea, bacteria and eukarya as well as chloroplasts and mitochondria. Its best characterised activity is the generation of mature 5'-ends of tRNAs by cleaving the 5'-leader elements of precursor-tRNAs. Cellular RNase Ps are ribonucleoproteins. Lineage: Bacteria; Methylomirabilota (SeqCode). The record is from RNAcentral.